Molecule: ribosomal RNA, 318 nt
Filed under: Pseudonocardia sp. 'CIBE H9'
Lineage: Bacteria; Bacillati; Actinomycetota; Actinomycetes; Pseudonocardiales; Pseudonocardiaceae
Description: partial 16S ribosomal RNA
Rfam family: Bacterial small subunit ribosomal RNA
Source: RNAcentral
GGCGAAGGCGGGUCUCUGGGCCGAUACUGACGCUGAGGAGCGAAAGCGUGGGGAGCGAACAGGAUUAGAUACCCUGGUAGUCCACGCCGUAAACGUUGGGCGCUAGGUGUGGGGGCCAUUCCACGGUCUCUGUGCCGCAGCUAACGCAUUAAGCGCCCCGCCUGGGGAGUACGGCCGCAAGGCUAAAACUCAAAGGAAUUGACGGGGGCCCGCACAAGCGGCGGAGCAUGNUGGAUUAAUUCGAUGCAACGCGAAGAACCUUACCUGGGUUUGACAUGCACAGGACGCUGGUAGAGAUNUNANNUCCCUNNUNGGCCU